Molecule: ribosomal RNA, 253 nt
Filed under: uncultured bacterium
Lineage: Bacteria
Description: partial 16S ribosomal RNA
Rfam family: Bacterial small subunit ribosomal RNA
Source: RNAcentral
UACGAAGGGGGCUAGCGUUGCUCGGAAUCACUGGGCGUAAAGGGUGCGUAGGCGGGUCUUUAAGUCAGGGGUGAAAUCCUGGAGCUCAACUCCAGAACUGCCUUUGAUACUGAAGAUCUUGAGUUCGGGAGAGGUGAGUGGAACUGCGAGUGUAGAGGUGAAAUUCGUAGAUAUUCGCAAGAACACCAGUGGCGAAGGCGGCUCACUGGCCCGAUACUGACACUGAGGCACGAAAGCGUGGGGAGCGAACAGG